GACGAACGCUGGCGGCGUGCCUAAUACAUGCAAGUAGAACGAGUGGCGGACGGGUGAGUAAUGUCUGGGAACCUGCCCGAUGGAGGGGGAUAACUACUGGAAACGGUAGCUAAUACCGCAUACCAUCGGAUGUUCCCAAAUGGGAUUAGCUGGUAGGUUGGGUAACGGCUCACAUAGGCGACGAUCCCUAGCUUGUCUGAGAGGAUGACCAGCCACACUGGAACUGGGACACGGUCCAGACUCCUACGGGAGGCAGCAGUGGGGAAUAUUGCGCAAUGGGCGCAAGCCUGAUGCAGCCAUGCCGCGUGUAUGAAGAAGGCCUUGGGGUUGUAAAGUACUUUCAGCGGGGAGGCGUUACUCGCAGAAGAAGCACCGGCUAACUCCGUGCCAGCAGCCGCGGUAAUAC
This 406-nucleotide ribosomal RNA is filed under the name uncultured bacterium. Its description in RNAcentral is "partial 16S ribosomal RNA". It matches the Rfam family "Bacterial small subunit ribosomal RNA", at positions 28 to 526 of the family's 1533-position model. The record is from RNAcentral.